Molecule: small RNA, 28 nt
Filed under: Bombyx mori (domestic silkworm)
Lineage: Eukaryota; Metazoa; Arthropoda; Insecta; Lepidoptera; Bombycidae
Description: ovarian small RNA-20137
Source: RNAcentral
UACAAUCAGUUUCUACUAUAUUAUGCUU